RNAcentral lists this ribosomal RNA (254 nucleotides) under uncultured bacterium. RNAcentral describes it as "partial 16S ribosomal RNA". It matches the Rfam family "Bacterial small subunit ribosomal RNA", at positions 524 to 776 of the family's 1533-position model. The record is from RNAcentral.
GACGUAGGGCGCGAGCGUUGUCCGGAUUUAUUGGGCGUAAAGAGCUCGUAGGCGGCUUAGUAAGUCGGCGGUGAAAUACCGAGGCUCAACCUCGGCACUGCCGUCGAUACUGCUAUGGCUAGAGUUUGGUAGAGGAGAACGGAAUUCCCGGUGUAGCGGUGAAAUGCUUAGAUAUGACAUAGAACACCAAUUGCGAAGGCAGCUUACUACACAGUAAUUGACGCUGAGGCACGAAAGCGUGGGGAUCAAACAGG